Molecule: ribosomal RNA, 456 nt
Filed under: uncultured bacterium
Lineage: Bacteria
Description: bacterial SSU rRNA
Rfam family: Bacterial small subunit ribosomal RNA
Source: RNAcentral
UACGGGAGGCAGCAGUGGGGAAUAUUGCACAAUGGGCGAAAGCCUGAUGCAGCUAUGCCGCGUGUAUGAAGAAGGCCUUAGGGUUGUAAAGUACUUUCAUCGGGGAGGAAAAAACAAAACUAAUAAUUUUAUUUCUUGACGUUACCCGAAAAAGAAGCACCGGCUAACUCCGUGCCAGCAGCCGCGGUAAUACGGAGGGUGCUAGCGUUAAUCAGAAUUACUGGGCGUAAAGAGCACGUAGGUGGUUUUUUAAGUCAGAUGUGAAAUCCCUGGGCUUAACCUAGGAACUGCAUUUUGAAACUGAAAUACUAGAGUAUCGUAGAGGGAGGUAGAAUUCUAGGUGUAGCGGUGAAAUGCGUAGAUAUCUGGAGGAAUACCUGUGGCGAAAGCGGCCUCCUAAACGAAUACUGACACUGAGGUGCGAAAGCGUUGGGGAGCAAACAGGGAUUAGAUACC